Molecule: ribosomal RNA, 246 nt
Filed under: Lernecella minuta
Lineage: Eukaryota; Metazoa; Arthropoda; Insecta; Orthoptera; Phalangopsidae
Description: partial 12S ribosomal RNA
Source: RNAcentral
GGUAGUAGAGUUAAGGUCUUGAAACUCAAAGAAUUUGGCGGUAUUUUAGUCUUUUCAGAGGAACCUGUCCUGUAAUUGAUAAUACACGAUUUGCUUUACUUUUUUUGGUUUAGUUUGNAUACCGCCGUCUUAAGAUUGUCUUUUGAGAGUGGAAUUUUCUUUAUGUAUUAUUUAAAAUUAAGUCANGUCAAGGUGCAGCUUAUAAAGNAGGGGAGAUGGGUUACAGUAAUAGUAAUUAUACGAAUG